RNAcentral lists this ribosomal RNA (444 nucleotides) under uncultured bacterium. Its description in RNAcentral is "bacterial SSU rRNA". It matches the Rfam family "Bacterial small subunit ribosomal RNA", at positions 338 to 795 of the family's 1533-position model. The record is from RNAcentral.
CCUACGGGUUGCAGCAGUGGGGAAUCUUGGACAAUGGGCGAAAGCCCGAUCCAGCAAUAUCGCGUGAGUGAAGAAGGGCAACGCCGCUUGUAAAGCUCUUUCGUCGAGUGCGCGAUCAUGACAGGACUCGAGGAAGAAGCCACGGCUAACUUCGUGCCAGCAGCCGCGGUAAUACGAAGGGGGCUAGCGUUGUUCGGAAUUACUGGGCGUAAAGCGCGCGUAGGCGGAUAGAUAAGUCAGAGGUGAAAUCCCGGGGCUCAACCCCGGAAUUGCCUUUGAUACUGUUUAUCUUGAGUGUAGAAGAGGUAAGUGGAAUUCCGAGUGUAGAGGUGAAAUUCGUAGAUAUUCGGAGGAACACCAGUGGCGAAGGCGGCUUACUGGUCUGCAACUGACGCUGAGGCGCGAAAGCGUGGGGAGCAAACAGGAUUAGAUACCCCUGUAGUC